GGAUGGAAUAAUAUAAAGGAUCUAGAAACACUGGAAGUGCCGGAUCGGGGAAAAUAGGGUCCGGGACCGCAAUGAUUGGAGAGCGGUGACGGUGGCGGCCGAAAUUCUUUUACGGAAUUGUAGAGCCAAAGAAAAAGAUGAAUAAUAAUCGACUAUUGUUGAACGUACCGGCGUGUCAGCGCGCGUAUUGAUAAAAAUAUUGACGGUGAAAC
This is a non-coding RNA of Cinara cedri, 212 nucleotides long. The record is from the annotation of a GenBank genome assembly. Lineage: Eukaryota; Metazoa; Arthropoda; Insecta; Hemiptera; Aphididae.